This 429-nucleotide ribosomal RNA is filed under the name Gemmatimonadota bacterium. RNAcentral describes it as "Gemmatimonadetes bacterium partial 16S ribosomal RNA". It matches the Rfam family "Bacterial small subunit ribosomal RNA", at positions 355 to 776 of the family's 1533-position model. Lineage: Bacteria; Pseudomonadati; Gemmatimonadota. The record is from RNAcentral.
UAGGGAAUCUUCGGCAAUGGACGAAAGUCUGACCGAGCAACGCCGCGUGAGUGAAGAAGGUUUUCGGAUCGUAAAACUCUGUUGUUAGAGAAGAACAAGGACGUUAGUAACUGAACGUCCCCUGACGGUAUCUAACCAGAAAGCCACGGCUAACUACGUGCCAGCAGCCGCGGUAAUACGUAGGUGGCAAGCGUUGUCCGGAUUUAUUGGGCGUAAAGCGAGCGCAGGCGGUUUCUUAAGUCUGAUGUGAAAGCCCCCGGCUCAACCGAGGAGGGUAAUAGGAAACUGGGGGUCUUGAGUGAAGAAGAGGAGGGUGGAAUUCCAUGUGUGGCGGUGAAAUGCAUAGGUAUAUGAAGGAACACCAGUGGCGAAGGCGGCUCUCUGGUCUGUAACUGACGCUGAGGCUCGAAAGCGUGGGGAGCAAACAGG